Long non-coding RNA from Chinchilla lanigera (long-tailed chinchilla), 650 nucleotides. RefSeq lists it as uncharacterized. Lineage: Eukaryota; Metazoa; Chordata; Mammalia; Rodentia; Chinchillidae. The record is from RefSeq and is a predicted model, not a curated record. The transcript is spliced from 6 exons.
GCCGCGCGAACCAAGGGAGCGUGGAACAAGGCAGCGGCUGCCCACACCCGUCCCCACGCCGCACAAAGGACACGCUGGCAAACUUUGCUCGGUCCUGACCGCGUCUGGGCAAGGAACCGCACGCUGGCUCUGCUGCCGGAGGGGACGAAGGCUUUCCUGACCUUUCAGCAUCCCUGGCAAGCCUCCUGAGGCUGCUGCCCCUUCUGCCCUUCUGGACUCAAAACGUACAGCCUAUCUUCCUGGGAAUGGAAGAGACAUGAUAUUGUGCCCUACAGGGUCGAGUUUUAUGGAGGCCUGAAGACUCCCUUCCCUUCAUAGAGAAUGAGAAGGAAUGCUGAGGACUGCCAGCAAAUACCAGAAGAUAGAAGAAGCGAUGAAAGAUUCCCCUCAAGAGGCUUGAGAGAGAACCCCGCUCUGAACAUGUUACCUUGACACCAUGGUUUCAGACCUACAGCCUCCGAAACUUUUCAUCACUGAAUAUCCACUGGGAAUUCUUCGUGGACAUGAGCAGAGAUGCUAGCUUUGAUGUGUCACACAGGCUUGGACCAAGGGCAUCUGUCUGUGACCAGUAGGGACAGAUAUGUGUGUCCUUCUGUGAUACCAUCCUGCCUUGUGGACAGCUGACUAUGGACUGAAACUUCUACAAAAUG